This 253-nucleotide ribosomal RNA is filed under the name uncultured bacterium. RNAcentral's name for it is "partial 16S ribosomal RNA". It matches the Rfam family "Bacterial small subunit ribosomal RNA", at positions 524 to 776 of the family's 1533-position model. The record is from RNAcentral.
UACGUAGGGUGCAAGCGUUGUCCGGAAUUAUUGGGCGUAAAGGGCUCGUAGGCGGUUUGUCACGUCGGGAGUGAAAACUCGGGGCUUAACCCCGAGCCUGCUUCCGAUACGGGCAGACUAGAGGUAUGCAGGGGAGAACGGAAUUCCUGGUGUAGCGGUGAAAUGCGCAGAUAUCAGGAGGAACACCGGUGGCGAAGGCGGUUCUCUGGGCAUUACCUGACGCUGAGGAGCGAAAGCGUGGGGAGCAAACAGG